UGGGUAACCUGCCUCAAAGAGGGGAAUAGCCUCCCGAAAGGGAGAUUAAUACCGCAUAAUAUGUUUAAGUCGCAUGACUUUAACAUCAAAGGAUUUUCUUUUAGAACUUCCACUUUGGGAUGGACCCGCGGCGCAUUAGCUAGUUGGUGAGGUAACGGCUCACCAAGGCAACGAUGCGUAGCCGACCUGAGAGGGUGAUCGGCCACAUUGGAACUGAGACACGGUCCAGACUCCUACGGGAGCAG
Molecule: ribosomal RNA, 245 nt
Filed under: uncultured bacterium
Lineage: Bacteria
Description: partial 16S ribosomal RNA
Rfam family: Bacterial small subunit ribosomal RNA
Source: RNAcentral